AGAGCGAGGGCCAAUAGCACCGCCGUUUUAGCGCUAGAAGGACGGUUCACAAAUGCGUUCUUGGCCAAUGGGAGCGCGCGCUGGUUAUAAUGAUUUACAUUCUGUUUGAGGGAUGCCGUUACAAAUCGAAACAAAUUUCUGUAUUUUUACGGGUGAGAUGUGGGAAUCCAGCUGUCCAUGGUUUAGGGACUCUGCAGGUGUAGAGUUCCUGGGGACACUCAAGGAUUGUCCAAACAAGCCGAGGCAGACUGGCAGGCGCCAGCGCCGUGACGUCACCCAUUCAUCCGAGCAUUGACGCCUGUCAGCCUGGCGCCGAGCGGGCGGUCGCUAUGGAGACCUCAAACAACAGGCUCUCAUUCCCCCAUUCACCUGCAUAGCGCGCAAACCCUGAGAACAAACUGGCUGCGGUGAUCAUCAUUCAUUUAUCACCUUAAGUCACUCUGAUGAUAUUACCGCCCCACGCACCUGCAAAGACUAUUUAGGGAAAGAAAGCUAAAGAUGGAGAGCUGUAAAGUGAAAGCAUGCAUUUGUACCGCAUUUUUACCAAAUUGAUAGGAUAAGUUGUGGCAGCAUUCCUUCACAUGGAAAUAUGUCUAUAUGCAGGAGUCUGUCUCUGUGGAUGUCUCAUCACAUGAACACACUAGCAACCAGCAAAAUGUGUUAUAUGAAAUAUGCAGCUUUUCUCAAAGCUAGAAUGUCCAAGAAAAAGUGAUGUAUACAUUAACCAAGCUAUUGAUUGCAAACAGUGUUUUAUAGUGCAAUUAUAUGUCAUGCAACAUUUUAAGACCAUAUGCGAAAAUAACUAUAAAGGUUUUUUUUUUUUUUUUUUGUAAAUGUUCCCCUAGUUUUUCUAGGUUAAUUUGCUUAUGUAUAUAAUUGCAAUUGUUUUUAAAUAUUACAUUUAUAAACUAAACCCAUUGUUAUAAGGAUCCAAAUAAAUUACCCAUAUGAGUAAGCAACCAGCCUCACAAGCAAAAAGGAUGACUUAACUUUGUUUUUACCAGAAAUAAUAGUUAACAAGGAACCUUUUUUUUUUUUACUUGCUGCAGUAGCCCCUAAAACUAAAAAAAAAUAUAUAUAUAUUGCCCUCUGUCCCAGGUCGCAGAUGACAUGGCAGAGGGAGAAGGGGGGGCAGCAAGAACAAUGGGAGUGCGGUGCAGGGAUUGUGGGAGAGAAUCUAGACUGGAGCCACAGUGUCUGGAGCGCCCCUCCAAUCCCCUCAUCCAGCUUUUGUUCAGCUGCAAAAGCUAUCAGCACUUCCUACUGACACCAACAAUAACUCCACACAGCUGGGCCCUUUUCAGCCUGUUUGCAGCACAUCAAGGCAAUGGAAGAGAGAGGGAAGAGGCAGAGGAGGGAAAAGAAAAGUGAAACAUAUUAACUCCUGAUUUUAACUGACAGAAUAGCAAUGCCUCCCACCAUCACCCACCCAUCCAAAAUUCCCUCUUCCAUGGCCAGUUAUUCAUUGUAGUUAAUGCUGGAAUGCAAACUGACAUGUAAUUGCACCAAUGAAUUAUAAUGAUUUGUGGUAAAAAUUUGAUCCCACAUUGUAUUUCAUCUUUGUACAUUGUAUUCUGUAUGUAUCAAUGUCAACACAUGCAAUCAGAUUACUUGAUGAUGGCAGCUGAUGACGGAGACACUAGCAUCCUUUAAACUUCUUUCUGGACAAGACAGCAGCCUUUGACACAGUGAAUCAUGAGAUUCUCAUCAGCAGACUUAAGAACUUUUUGGGAUUCUCUGGCACAGCACUCCAGUGGUUUUGCUCCUAUCUGACUGAUAGACAAGAAUUUGUGACACUUGGAAAUUAUGAACCCAACCCUGCCACAGUCACUCAAGGGGUCCCACAGUGCUCUGCUCUGGGGCCACUCCUGUUAACUAUAUACAUGCUGCCACUUGAUAUACUAAUCCAAAGAUUUGGAGUAAACUUUCAUUUUUAUGCUGUUGACCCAGAAAUAUAUUUGAGAACAAAAGGGGACACUGAGACUGUAACAACCAAACUGACAGAACUGUCUAGAUGCAACCAAGAGAUGCAUGCAGUUGAACUUCCUAAAACUUAAUUGCAGCAAAAGAGAGCUUGUGCCCUUUGGCUCUAAGAGUGCACAGAGUAAGAUGAGCACUUUCUACAUUUUAACCACCUGUAUAACAUUGCUUGAAUCAGGUUAUUCUUGUCCACUGCAGAUGCUGAGAAGCUUGUCCAUGCCCUGGUGACAUCUCAGCUUGACUAUUGUAGUGCACAGCUGACAGAAAUCGCAGUAAGGCUUCUGUCUCGACUCCAGAUAAUCCAGAACGAAGCUGCCAGGAUGCUCUCACAAACUACACAAAAAACUCACAGCACCCCUGUUUUAUUCAACCUCCAUUGGCUUCCUGUUCAAUACAGGAUCACAUUUUAAAUUCUGCUGCUGACCUUGUUUUUUCUACUUUUUGAUGUAUUGUUGCUGAAUUUUGUUUGUGUUUUUACAAAUAAAUUAUUAUUACUAUCAAA
Oncorhynchus mykiss (rainbow trout) is the source of this 2482-nucleotide long non-coding RNA. RefSeq lists it as uncharacterized. The record is from RefSeq and is a predicted model, not a curated record. Lineage: Eukaryota; Metazoa; Chordata; Actinopteri; Salmoniformes; Salmonidae.